Molecule: ribosomal RNA, 2367 nt
Filed under: Escherichia coli
Lineage: Bacteria; Pseudomonadati; Pseudomonadota; Gammaproteobacteria; Enterobacterales; Enterobacteriaceae
Description: partial 23S ribosomal RNA
Rfam family: Bacterial large subunit ribosomal RNA
Source: RNAcentral
CGGGACACGUGGUAUCCUGUCUGAAUAUGGGGGGACCAUCCUCCAAGGCUAAAUACUCCUGACUGACCGAUAGUGAACCAGUACCGUGAGGGAAAGGCGAAAAGAACCCCGGCGAGGGGAGUGAAAAAGAACCUGAAACCGUGUACGUACAAGCAGUGGGAGCCUCUUUAUGGGGUGACUGCGUACCUUUUGUAUAAUGGGUCAGCGACUUAUAUUCUGUAGCAAGGUUAACCGAAUAGGGGAGCCGAAGGGAAACCGAGUCUUAACUGGGCGUUAAGUUGCAGGGUAUAGACCCGAAACCCGGUGAUCUAGCCAUGGGCAGGUUGAAGGUUGGGUAACACUAACUGGAGGACCGAACCGACUAAUGUUGAAAAAUUAGCGGAUGACUUGUGGCUGGGGGUGAAAGGCCAAUCAAACCGGGAGAUAGCUGGUUCUCCCCGAAAGCUAUUUAGGUAGCGCCUCGUGAACUCAUCUCCGGGGGUAGAGCACUGUUUCGGCAAGGGGGUCAUCCCGACUUACCAACCCGAUGCAAACUGCGAAUACCGGAGAAUGUUAUCACGGGAGACACACGGCGGGUGCUAACGUCCGUCGUGAAGAGGGAAACAACCCAGACCGCCAGCUAAGGUCCCAAAGUCAUGGUUAAGUGGGAAACGAUGUGGGAAGGCCCAGACAGCCAGGAUGUUGGCUUAGAAGCAGCCAUCAUUUAAAGAAAGCGUAAUAGCUCACUGGUCGAGUCGGCCUGCGCGGAAGAUGUAACGGGGCUAAACCAUGCACCGAAGCUGCGGCAGCGACGCUGAUGCGUUGUUGGGUAGGGGAGCGUUCUGUAAGCCUGUGAAGGUGUGCUGUGAGGCAUGCUGGAGGUAUCAGAAGUGCGAAUGCUGACAUAAGUAACGAUAAAGCGGGUGAAAAGCCCGCUCGCCGGAAGACCAAGGGUUCCUGUCCAACGUUAAUCGGGGCAGGGUGAGUCGACCCCUAAGGCGAGGCCGAAAGGCGUAGUCGAUGGGAAACAGGUUAAUAUUCCUGUACUUGGUGUUACUGCGAAGGGGGGACGGAGAAGGCUAUGUUGGCCGGGCGACGGUUGUCCCGGUUUAAGCGUGUAGGCUGGUUUUCCAGGCAAAUCCGGAAAAUCAAGGCUGAGGCGUGAUGACGAGGCACUACGGUGCUGAAGCAACAAAUGCCCUGCUUCCAGGAAAAGCCUCUAAGCAUCAGGUAACAUCAAAUCGUACCCCAAACCGACACAGGUGGUCAGGUAGAGAAUACCAAGGCGCUUGAGAGAACUCGGGUGAAGGAACUAGGCAAAAUGGUGCCGUAACUUCGGGAGAAGGCACGCUGAUAUGUAGGUGAAGUCCCUCGCGGAUGGAGCUGAAAUCAGUCGAAGAUACCAGCUGGCUGCAACUGUUUAUUAAAAACACAGCACUGUGCAAACACGAAAGUGGACGUAUACGGUGUGACGCCUGCCCGGUGCCGGAAGGUUAAUUGAUGGGGUCAGCGCAAGCGAAGCUCUUGAUCGAAGCCCCGGUAAACGGCGGCCGUAACUAUAACGGUCCUAAGGUAGCGAAAUUCCUUGUCGGGUAAGUUCCGACCUGCACGAAUGGCGUAAUGAUGGCCAGGCUGUCUCCACCCGAGACUCAGUGAAAUUGAACUCGCUGUGAAGAUGCAGUGUACCCGCGGCAAGACGGAAAGACCCCGUGAACCUUUACUAUAGCUUGACACUGAACAUUGAGCCUUGAUGUGUAGGAUAGGUGGGAGGCUUAGAAGUGUGGACGCCAGUCUGCAUGGAGCCGACCUUGAAAUACCACCCUUUAAUGUUUGAUGUUCUAACGUUGACCCGUAAUCCGGGUUGCGGACAGUGUCUGGUGGGUAGUUUGACUGGGGCGGUCUCCUCCUAAAGAGUAACGGAGGAGCACGAAGGUUGGCUAAUCCUGGUCGGACAUCAGGAGGUUAGUGCAAUGGCAUAAGCCAGCUUGACUGCGAGCGUGACGGCGCGAGCAGGUGCGAAAGCAGGUCAUAGUGAUCCGGUGGUUCUGAAUGGAAGGGCCAUCGCUCAACGGAUAAAAGGUACUCCGGGGAUAACAGGCUGAUACCGCCCAAGAGUUCAUAUCGACGGCGGUGUUUGGCACCUCGAUGUCGGCUCAUCACAUCCUGGGGCUGAAGUAGGUCCCAAGGGUAUGGCUGUUCGCCAUUUAAAGUGGUACGCGAGCUGGGUUUAGAACGUCGUGAGACAGUUCGGUCCCUAUCUGCCGUGGGCGCUGGAGAACUGAGGGGGGCUGCUCCUAGUACGAGAGGACCGGAGUGGACGCAUCACUGGUGUUCGGGUUGUCAUGCCAAUGGCACUGCCCGGUAGCUAAAUGCGGAAGAGAUAAGUGC